Molecule: ribosomal RNA, 24 nt
Filed under: Cortinarius piceidisjungendus
Lineage: Eukaryota; Fungi; Basidiomycota; Agaricomycetes; Agaricales; Cortinariaceae
Description: partial 28S ribosomal RNA
Source: RNAcentral
UGUGACCUCAAAUCAGGUAGGACU